Long non-coding RNA from Magnolia sinica, 475 nucleotides. RefSeq lists it as uncharacterized. NCBI's taxonomy places the organism in Eukaryota, Viridiplantae, Streptophyta, Magnoliopsida, Magnoliales, Magnoliaceae. The transcript is spliced from 5 exons. The record is from RefSeq and is a predicted model, not a curated record.
AUUCUGAGUCAACUUUCAUUUGCAUUGACUUGGUAUUACUUGGCUGGCUCAUGUCAACAGAACUCAGCUGUCAUUCGGUUUUCUACUUGAAUAUCCAGGGCUGAGGCACAACACGUCACAUGACUUGAGGAAGAAGAGGCUCUCAUUUCAGCUCAUAAAAAAAAUCUAGAUAGAAGAGGCUUGCCCCAAUUGCUUUUGUACUUAAGCUGGUUUUGCAAUAUUGAGUGCCGGAUAUCAGCAACACCAAUCUGUAUAUUCUUUUUAGUGCAUUUGGGAUAAUUUUAAUUAUGCAAUUACAUAUUACCAUAAGGUACACUUACAAGUUGGGGCAUAGGUUAUUGAAUGGUUCGUACAUUUGGAGUCAGACAUAUCACUUCAAAGCAUCCCCUUAUCCUGGACAGGAUUCUUUAUAACGUGUAGUAAAUUUUCGUGACAUGGGAAAGAGAGACUUGGCGAAUAAGGGGAAUUCUACGAG